ACGAACGCUGGCGGUGUGCUUCACACAUGCAAGUCGAACGGGGUAGCAAUACCUAGUGGCGGACGGGUGAGUAACGCGUGGGAAUCUGCCCAAGGGUGGGGGAUAACUAACCGAAAGGUUAGCUAAUACCGCAUAUGCCGUGAGGUAAAAGGAGUAAUCCGCCUUUGGAUGAGCCUGCGUCCGAUUAGCUUGUUGGUGGGGUAAAAGCCUCCAAGGCUACGAUCGGUAGCUGGUCCGAGAGGAUGAUCAGCCACAAUGGGACUGAGACACGGCCCAUACUCCUACGGGAGGCAGCAGUGGGGAAUUUUACGCAAUGGGCGAAAGCCUGACGUAGCGACACCGCGUGAGCGAAGAAGCCCUUUGGGGUGUAAAGCUCUGUCAGCAGGGAUGAAAUAAAUGACGUACCUGCAGAGAAGCAU
RNAcentral lists this ribosomal RNA (419 nucleotides) under cyanobacterium oral taxon E55. RNAcentral's name for it is "bacterial SSU rRNA". It matches the Rfam family "Bacterial small subunit ribosomal RNA", at positions 29 to 493 of the family's 1533-position model. Lineage: Bacteria; Bacillati; Cyanobacteriota. The record is from RNAcentral.